Molecule: long non-coding RNA, 252 nt
Filed under: Medicago truncatula (barrel medic)
Lineage: Eukaryota; Viridiplantae; Streptophyta; Magnoliopsida; Fabales; Fabaceae
Description: long non-coding RNA (MTRU_LNC001172)
Source: RNAcentral
AGUUUUGGUGAAGGGAGAAGAAGAUAGUUGAAGGGGGUGUGAAAAGAACAAAGAGGUAUUGUUCUGAAUAAUGAUAAGAAAGAAAAGGAAUGGUUAAUUAAUAAAGAAAAGGUUGAGGGAGAUAACGGUAACGGAAAUAGGUCAGUAGUGAAGAAAAUGGGAGAGAUAAAAGAGGAAAGGAUAGAGAAUGGGGCAGGUGAAGUAAAGGUUAAGGUUAGGGGGGUGCACCUGUUUUUGAUGAUUUACGAAGAC